RNAcentral lists this ribosomal RNA (465 nucleotides) under Vreelandella stevensii. Its description in RNAcentral is "partial 16S ribosomal RNA". It matches the Rfam family "Bacterial small subunit ribosomal RNA", at positions 338 to 795 of the family's 1533-position model. The record is from RNAcentral. Lineage: Bacteria; Pseudomonadati; Pseudomonadota; Gammaproteobacteria; Oceanospirillales; Halomonadaceae.
CCUACGGGUGGCUGCAGUGGGGAAUAUUGGACAAUGGGCGAAAGCCUGAUCCAGCCAUGCCGCGUGUGUGAAGAAGGCCUUCGGGUUGUAAAGCACUUUCAGUGGGGAAGAAAGCCUUGGGGCUAAUACCCUCGAGGAAGGACAUCACCCACAGAAGAAGCACCGGCUAACUCCGUGCCAGCAGCCGCGGUAAUACGGAGGGUGCGAGCGUUAAUCGGAAUUACUGGGCGUAAAGCGCGCGUAGGCGGUCUGAUAAGCCGGUUGUGAAAGCCCCGGGCUCAACCUGGGAACGGCAUCCGGAACUGUCAGGCUAGAGUGCAGGAGAGGAAGGUAGAAUUCCCGGUGUAGCGGUGAAAUGCGUAGAGAUCGGGAGGAAUAACAGUGGCGAAGGCGGCCUUCUGGACUGACACUGACGCUGAGGUGCGAAAGCGUGGGUAGCAAACAGGAUUAGAUACCCUUGUAGUC